RNAcentral lists this ribosomal RNA (833 nucleotides) under uncultured Prevotella sp. Its description in RNAcentral is "bacterial SSU rRNA". It matches the Rfam family "Bacterial small subunit ribosomal RNA", at positions 555 to 1391 of the family's 1533-position model. The record is from RNAcentral. Lineage: Bacteria; Pseudomonadati; Bacteroidota; Bacteroidia; Bacteroidales; Prevotellaceae.
UGGGUUUAAAGGGAGCGUAGGCAGUUUUUUAAGCGUGCUGUGAAAUGUACCGGCUCAACCGGUGAUGUGCAGCGCGAACUGGGAAUCUUGAGUACGCAGUAAGCAGGCGGAAUUCGUGGUGUAGCGGUGAAAUGCUUAGAUAUCACGAAGAACUCCGAUUGCGUAGGCAGCUUGCUGUAGCGUAACUGACGCUGAAGCUCGAAAGUGCGGGUAUCGAACAGGAUUAGAUACCCUGGUAGUCCGCACGGUAAACGAUGGAUGCCCGCUGUCGGCCUUUUUUGGUCGGUGGCCAAGCGAAAGCGUUAAGCAUCCCACCUGGGGAGUACGCCGGCAACGGUGAAACUCAAAGGAAUUGACGGGGGCCCGCACAAGCGGAGGAACAUGUGGUUUAAUUCGAUGAUACGCGAGGAACCUUACCCGGGCUUGAACUGCCAUUGACUUGAAUAGAGAUAUUCAUUCCCUUCGGGGCAUUGGUGGAGGUGCUGCAUGGUUGUCGUCAGCUCGUGCCGUGAGGUGUCGGCUUAAGUGCCAUAACGAGCGCAACCCCUUUUUUCAGUUGCCAUCGGUUAAAGCCGGGCACUCUGUGAAUACUGCCGCCGUAAGGUGUGAGGAAGGUGGGGAUGACGUCAAAUCAGCACGGCCCUUACGUCCGGGGCUACACACGUGUUACAAUGGCGCGUACAGCGAGUCGGCCGUAUGUAAAUGCGGUCCAAUCCUUAAAACGCGCCUCAGUUCGGACUGGGGUCUGCAACCCGACCCCACGAAGCUGGAUUCGCUAGUAAUCGCGCAUCAGCCAUGGCGCGGUGAAUACGUUCCCGGGCCUUAUACACACC